UAGAAGUUUUGUCAUGAAAGAUGCACUAAGAAAGCUCUAGGAACUUGAGCUUGGACAACAUACGUGAAUAAAGUUCAGAACCAUAUUUUGGUUAUCCUUUUUUUCUUUAUCUCCUAGAUCAAAUAUUUUGUUGCAUAUAGGAAGCUGUACCUCUUAAGAAAUAAGUAUUGAUUCUCAACUGUUGCUUAAAUAUUUUUAGAACUGUUAACCAAGAAUUCCUGCAUUGGGAUCACCAAGGGUCUCAUCUUCUGCUUUGCCUUUCCUCUUCUUCCUUUUCCCACUUUUCUUUAUUUAAGCUCUCUUCUUUUUCUUUUUCUCCCUUUCGACAUCCCUAACAUCCUUUUUCUCUGUAGAUCCUGCAUCUUCCCUGCCUUCCCUUUUCUUUUUCUUGUUUCACCAAAACUAAAUGAAAGGAACUAGGGUAGUUGCAGCUAUCUGUGAAACUUAGGUGUUUUUACUUGCCAAGGAUUCAGUAAGGAGCACAAUGCAAUGUGGGGAAAAAAAAAGUCAAAGCAGCUCCUUGGCACUUCACCAUGUCUUCUUCUCUUUUAUGUUCGCCCACCAAUUUAACAUAUUUAAUUAUUCAAAGUGUCUUUUUUGUUUUCCAAGUGUUUCUCGUACAUAGUACUUUUGCUUUUGCAGUUAAUGUGACAAAUUCUAGUUCUGGUUGUCACUGAAUUGCCAAAUCAUCAUUUAUACCUAUAGGCAGAGAAGGGACAAUGAUGAAAAGGAUAUCACAGAUGCCUAUUAACAUGGCUUCUUUCUUGGUCUAUGUGGCUCUUUUGUUUUCAAAGCACCACACUUGGAACAGUUUGUUCAUCAUUGUUGUUCAGGAUAUCUUCAAAGUUCCAUCCUUUGUGUUUUUGCCUGAAAGCACUUAAUGGGGACUGAGGCGUGGUUGAUCGAUUGUUUGAUUGAUUUUGCGGCUAAAAGCAAAACAUCACCUUUUGAGAAUCAAAAAAGAGGAAGAAUGUUAUAUACUGAUAAAAAUGUUCCACAUUGAGUGAGGGAUGGGCUGUUGUCUCCUUAUAGGCAAUCCUCAGUUCAUGAUUUAGUAAUUUGGGUUGAGUUGGACCAAUGUCCAUUUUCAUGUAGUAUUGCUUUGUUUUGGAUGAACACAUUAUCAAAUCUGAUUGUUUUUGCUCUUAACUUCAGAUCUUACAUUGCUGCUCUUCUUCCUUUUCUUGUAGGAUGAAGGGAACUAAAGCACCAUCUUCAGAUUGUUGCAUCUACAUGGCCGGACAUUGUUUCUUGAUUAUGUAUCUUUGCGAUGUCUGAUAUCUGCAAGAUAAUCUGUAAUAGAGAACAUAAAAUUUGAUGUUUUCAUUUGGUGGUACAAAUUUGUAGUCUCGCAAUCCAGUUGCAGUCAAGCACUCCCCUCCUCCCAAAUCCACCAAAAGAAAAAAUAUUUC
Molecule: long non-coding RNA, 1412 nt
Filed under: Nicotiana tabacum (common tobacco)
Lineage: Eukaryota; Viridiplantae; Streptophyta; Magnoliopsida; Solanales; Solanaceae
Description: long non-coding RNA (NTAB_LNC002782)
Source: RNAcentral